CCGGCAAAGAAUGAGACAGAAAUAUACAUACUAUUUUAUAUAUAUUCAUCUCAUUCUUGUGUCGAUUUACUGAAGUUUCACUUCUAUCGUGUGUGAAUCGCACACACACCUUAUUUUUUGUCACAGAUAAAAUACCUAUGCAUAGUUUCUCCAACCCCAAGAAAUGUCCAGAUCAAUUUAAAUCAUGGGUUUCCCUUGUUGGUGGUGAUCUACACGAUAUUAAGUGAAAAUAUGAGUUUUACAAGAAGAAAAAAAUAUGUGAUAGACAUUUCAAAGUCAUAAACCGUUACAAUAGAUUAAAUGCAACGGCAGUUCCUCCACUGUACUUGAAUGAUGCUGAAAACACAAGCAGCUUUAUACCUGCACUGUCCGUAUCUACUGGAAAUAUCAAAACAAUAUCUGUAAAUGAAAACAAUGGUCCUAACAACGAUCGAAAUAAAAAAUUGUUUAGUGCAAAUAAUGAAAAACAGAAUUUAAAAGAAGAAAUGAUUGCACAGACUGCACAAAAUCGAACAGACAUUCAUAAACCCAGUACAGAAGUACCAAGUAGGUCAGCUGAAAAUAAGGAUGCAGAAUCUAUGUCCUGCCAUCAUUGUUCAUUUGAAAGUGAACUUGAUAUAAUAAAUUAUUUUUUUGGUAACAUUUUGAUUGGUGAACUACAGUGUGUACCAGUUUGCAUGCGUUCCGAAGUGUUCAUUAAUAUUUUGAAAUAUGUAGAAUCUUUAAAAAAUAGACAUAGACAAGAAUCUGAGGAAAAUAGAUAAAUAAUAAUUAAUGAAUCAAUGUUGAUUAUCUAAGAUUGAUUUGAGUUAACUGGAUUGUUACAGUGAUCGUAUAGUUUAAUGUUUAUAAUUAACCAAUAAAUAAAUAAAGAUAAAAAACGGAAUAAAAACACUGAAAAAAAAAGUUAAAUCAAGCUAUUCCCGGAAGAUUAGAAGCAAUAGAUAUGCAGUAUUUUUUCCAAAUGUAUGCCUAAUAUAAAUGUUUGGAUAUUU
RNAcentral lists this unclassified non-coding RNA (995 nucleotides) under Zerene cesonia (dogface butterfly). Its description in RNAcentral is "uncharacterized LOC119838665, transcript variant X1". Lineage: Eukaryota; Metazoa; Arthropoda; Insecta; Lepidoptera; Pieridae. The record is from RNAcentral.